Molecule: long non-coding RNA, 248 nt
Filed under: Elaeis guineensis (African oil palm)
Lineage: Eukaryota; Viridiplantae; Streptophyta; Magnoliopsida; Arecales; Arecaceae
Description: long non-coding RNA (EGUI_LNC024268)
Source: RNAcentral
CUUCCUCCUUCCUCUACGAUUGCUCUACUUCUCCAACUCUGACGCCGACGUCUCUCCUCCCUCCUUCCCUAUUCAUCUCUUCCUCCUCAUCCUUUUCUUCUCCUCAUUGCCUCUUCCUCCAAGCCCUUCCCCCUUCUCCCUUCUCCCCUUCCUCCUCUUCCAUUUCUUCUCCUCCUCCUCCUACUCAAAAUCUGCCCAUGUCCCUCUCCACGGUGGUUCCCACCACCUCCACCCCUUUUUCACGAGCA